Molecule: non-coding RNA, 136 nt
Organism: Hordeum vulgare subsp. vulgare (domesticated barley)
Lineage: Eukaryota; Viridiplantae; Streptophyta; Magnoliopsida; Poales; Poaceae
Source: Rfam
AAAAUACUUCCUCCGUCCCAAAAUUCNNNUCUUAGAUUUGUCUAAAAAUGAAUGUAUCUAAAUAUCAAAAUGUGACUAGAUACAUUCAUAACUAGAAAAAUAUAAGACAAGAAUUUUGGGACGGAGUGAGUAUAAA